This 189-nucleotide unclassified non-coding RNA is filed under the name uncultured fungus. RNAcentral describes it as "sequence contains ITS1". The record is from RNAcentral. Lineage: Eukaryota; Fungi.
UUAUUAGAUUAUAAUAAGACUACGUUUGUUACUUUAAUGUUUGUAUAAAAUGGGCAGGCGCUCUAAUCCUUUCAAGACAGCCUUACAGUUCACAGGUGUUAUGGAUAUGAUUUGAUGCUAGGGACUCCGAAGAGGUCCGCUAACAUAUUCAAUUCACUAAUGAUCCUUCCGCAGGUUCACCUACGGAAA